UGGGGGCACCCUUCUGCUGACACCCCCUUUCUUUCCUUCCAGAUGACCACUCCAGGGUGAUUCUCAGCCAAGUGGAUGGAAUUCCAUGCUCAGACUACAUCAAUGCUUCGUACACAGACGUAAGCCAAGGGUUUUCUCCUCAACCAAUGCUACUCAAAUACCUGCUUUUAGGUAAACCAUGACUGGCAGUGUGCCUUAGUGGGUAGAGACUUAGCUUCAGAGUCAGGAAGACACCUGGGUUCACAUGGUUCCUCCCGGGUCAAGUGCUUUAGUCUCUCAGUGGCCCCAAGCAGGUCUCUGGGAUAACAAUAAACAGCAGGGAAGAUUGGGGCCUGCUCUGGGAGAGGGGGUUGUUUUCACCAGGGAGCUCUGUAGACUCAGGAAGUCAUGAGGCGGGGUCAAUCUCGAGCCCUUCCUGACUGUCACUGAAACCACUGCAGAGAAUCACAAAUACCAUCUUCCUUCUGCAGGGUUACAAAGAGAAGAAUAAAUUCAUGGCUGCUCAAGGCCCCAAACAGGAGAUGGCCAGGGACUUCUGGAGGAUGGUCUGGGAGCAGAAGUCAGAGACCAUUGUCAUGCUGACCAACUUGAAAGAAAGAAAAAAGAAAACUGAUGUCCUUCAGUAAGAGAUCCAGUUGCUAACUCAUCAGGUGGAGCAGCUGCAUCAGCUUUAUCAAGAGGCUGUGUGUGACUCAUCCCAACUGAAGAAAAUCUUCUGGAGCAGAAGAAGUCCACGAAGCUUUCAGAAGGGAAAAUUACCAUUGAUGACUUCUUUCAAGGGAGAUGGGAUUUAGACAAGUAGAAAGCAAGGCUCCAAUUAAGUAUAUGGCAAAGAAAAAUUAAGAUUUUAAA
Phascolarctos cinereus (koala) is the source of this 852-nucleotide non-coding RNA. Lineage: Eukaryota; Metazoa; Chordata; Mammalia; Diprotodontia; Phascolarctidae. The record is from RefSeq and is a predicted model, not a curated record.